RNAcentral lists this RNase P RNA (359 nucleotides) under Desulfocapsaceae bacterium. Its description in RNAcentral is "RNase P RNA component class A". It matches the Rfam family "Bacterial RNase P class A". Rfam says of the family: Ribonuclease P (RNase P) is a ubiquitous endoribonuclease, found in archaea, bacteria and eukarya as well as chloroplasts and mitochondria. Its best characterised activity is the generation of mature 5'-ends of tRNAs by cleaving the 5'-leader elements of precursor-tRNAs. The record is from RNAcentral. Lineage: Bacteria; Pseudomonadati; Thermodesulfobacteriota; Desulfobulbia; Desulfobulbales; Desulfocapsaceae.
UGAAGCGGGUGCAUGAUCGCUCCGGCCUUGUGCCGGGGAGGAAAGUCCGAACUCCGCAGGGCAGAAUGGUUCGUAACGCGAACGCCGGGUGACCGGGGGAAAGUGCCACAGAAAAUAAACCGCCCAGGAAGGUCUGGGUAAGGGUGAAACGGCGAGGUAAGAGCUCACCGCCUGAAUGGUGACAUUCAGGGCACGGCAAACCCCAUUCGGAGCAAGACCAAAUAGGGAGACGUUUAAGGGCUGCCCGCUCAUUGUCUCCGGGUAGGUUGCAAGAGGUGCCGGGCAACCGGCAUCCAUAGUGAAAUGAUCAUGGCCCCGCAUGCGGGGAACAGAAUUCGGCUUAUAACCCGCUUCGUUUU